Molecule: ribosomal RNA, 253 nt
Filed under: uncultured bacterium
Lineage: Bacteria
Description: partial 16S ribosomal RNA
Rfam family: Bacterial small subunit ribosomal RNA
Source: RNAcentral
UACGUAGGGUGCGAGCGUUGUCCGGAAUUACUGGGCGUAAAGAGCUCGUAGGUGGUUUGUCGCGUUGUUCGUGAAAACUCACAACUCAAUUGUGGGCGUGCGGGCGAUACGGGCAGACUAGAGUACUGCAGGGGAGACUGGAAUUCCUGGUGUAGCGGUGAAAUGCGCAGAUAUCAGGAGGAACACCGGUGGCGAAGGCGGGUCUCUGGGCCGAUACUGACGCUGAGGAGCGAAAGCGUGGGGAGCGAACAGG